GUGCCAGCCGCCGCGGUACUACGGAGGGGGUUAGCGUUGUUCGGAAUUACUGGGCGUAAAGCGCACGUAGGCGGAUCAGAAAGUUGGGGGUGAAAUCCCAGGGCUCAACCCUGGAACUGCCUCCAAACCUCCUGGUCUUGAGUUCGAGAGAGGUGAGUGGAAUUCCGAGUGUAGAGGUGAAAUUCGUAGAUAUUCGGAGGAACACUAGUGGCGAAGGCGGCUCACUGGCUCGAUACUGACGCUGAGGUGCGAAAGUGGGGGGAGCAAACAGGAUUAGAAACCCGUGUAGUCC
Molecule: ribosomal RNA, 292 nt
Filed under: uncultured bacterium
Lineage: Bacteria
Description: partial 16S ribosomal RNA
Rfam family: Bacterial small subunit ribosomal RNA
Source: RNAcentral